UACGGGGGGGGCAAGCGUUGUUCGGAAUUACUGGGCGUAAAGGGCUCGUAGGCGGCCAACUAAGUCAGACGUGAAAUCCCUCGGCUUAACCGGGGUACUGCGUCUGAUACUGGAUGGCUUGAAUCCGGGAGAGGGAUGCGGAAUUCCAGGUGUAGCGGUGAAAUGCGUAGAUAUCUGGAGGAACACCGGUGGCGAAGGCGGCAUCCUGGACCGGCAUUGACGCUGAGGAGCGAAAGCCAGGGGAGCAAACGGG
Molecule: ribosomal RNA, 253 nt
Filed under: uncultured bacterium
Lineage: Bacteria
Description: partial 16S ribosomal RNA
Rfam family: Bacterial small subunit ribosomal RNA
Source: RNAcentral